UGAUACAGGCGAUUGAGCAGCCAUUGCGAACCAACAUGAUCACUCGGCAGAUCUAUGAACAUUCCGUCUUCAUCCACCCCUUCGGCUGCAUCUUCAUCCAGCUCUUCUUCAUCAUCAACAGCAUCUGAUGUACUACAUGUUUGGGUUCCUGUUCCUGGUGUUCAUCAUUUUCCUCAUCACCUGCUCCAAGGCCACCAUCCUGCUGUGCUACUUCCACUUGUGUGCAGAGGUGGGUGGAGCCAUGCAUACAUGGAUCUGGCAUCACAAUAAUGGACUCACUGGUGGUGGCAUUCCUUCCUGACCAGGCUAUUCAUGGCAGUCAACCAGUUUGUUUACGACUUGCACUACUUCUCCAAGCUGCAGAUCAUCACCACUACCAUCCUCUACUUCACCAUGAUCAUGGUGCUGAUUUUCUUCCUCUUCACAAGGGAGUCAACAACAGUGCCACACUACGCAAGGCUAGACUCUAACAGGUUUAAGUAGAGGUGCUCAGACACAUUUCAUCUUAACGAACAGUGCUGGAGCUUUUGGCAGACUUUGGCAGAUUCAUCGAAUGUUUCCAGCCACUCAUCUCAAUAGGAUUUUUUUCCGCCUUUAAGAAAUGGAAAUGUGUGGUGCUGUAAUAGCGAGCCGAGACAGUUGAAAAUAUUGAUGGGAUAUUUUAGUUGUCUGUGUGCUCCUGAAGUGCUGUGGUAUCUCAUUGUUAAAAUCAUCCUAGAGUGGAGAUGAAACACCUGUUGUGUUUAAUGGGCUGAUGUUGGUAAUACUAAUACAGAAAUAACCAUUGUAAAUGUAUUUUCUCCUCUUUACUGCAUUUUGCCUUUUUAUGCCAUUAUGUUUACCACUUCAAUGCCCUUAAAUCUGUAGUUUAAAGCAUGGUUCGAUAUUGACAUUUAGCGAGCUAAUCAAGAUAGAAUCUGAGAGAUCUCACCUUUUACCUAUCUCUGUAGCAGUUAGCUCUCAUUUCGUCUGGGCACUGCAUCAGCCAGAUGAAGUAACUACACAUUUAAUCUUCUUCCCCAUCCCCUCUUGUCUUGAUUCUACAGGGAGCAAGCCUGUUCUCCUCAAAACAUUAUUAGCAAGCUAGCUAACAUUAGCCAACUUGAGCAGAGAUCUCAGCUUGCUAACUAGCAAAGCCAACCAACUACACAUCAAAUAUACAGAGCAAAUAAUUAUUUUAUAAACUAAUUUUAAUUUUUUCGAAUUACAGACCGGGUGGGGCCCAUUGAUCAUCAGUUAUCAUAUUAAAAACUGCAAACAUUUGUCUCCAAGUUGCAGACCCACGAGCCACUGUGGCCCCUCAUGAUGAGUUCUGUUUUUUUGUGGCCCCCACCCCCAUCAAAGUUGCCUAUCUCUGUUUGACAUGCUUGUACACUUAAGGCACUAUUUUACCUUCAUAUCAUUCUUUCAAGGAACCAGUUCUCUGGCAAAAAAACGAAAUUGAUCUGAAACACUGCUUAAAGGCCUACCUAACAAAGAUUAAAGAUGUUGAUACUAAUUACAUAGCUAUUAAACAAUAAUCGAGACAGUACAAAGCCUGCAGUACGUAGCUUGCUCACACUUAAUAUUUAAUUUGUAGAGUAAUACGUGUUGAGUUUUAGCACUUUCUCAAACACUCUGGAAAAAAUGAAAUAACAUAUCAAAUGGAUGGACUGAGGCAUUCAGACUGCGUCUAGAUGGAGCCACAAGGGGUCAGUAGUUGUACAUUUAUGAGCUCGCAGACAAUGCCAUUGCUGGUACCCCAUCAGCUGUUUUCAUUCAGUCUUGUGUGUGGCAUAUAUUAUACUUUGUGCAUAUUUAUAGCUUUUUGCUGUAGAUUGAUAUUGUAAACAGUUUGUGGAAGGACUGUAACAUUAAGUUGCUCUUAAAUCUAUGUAUUUUUAUGUUGUAGUUACAUAAACAGAUAUAGUGUCAUUUGCCUACACAUUGUGUAGGAGUAAUCUAGAUUUAUGUGUUCUUGUCCUCUUUAUUUUACAUGCUGUGAGUGCCACUAUCUGUAAAUUUGACAUUUUCUCUCAAAUUAAUUGUCCACUCAAUAACACCUAGAAGACACAAAAGUGAGACACGCUUUGUUGGAAUCCUGAGAAUGUGGCAUGCACCAAUCCAAUAGAAACACGUUUUGCUAAAUGAAUUUCACUGAUCCCAUAGUAUAGACCAAAGGUCCCUACCCAACCCUGUAUCUCACCUUGAUUCAAGCCUGUCCAUUAGCUCAAUUACAUAUCAUAUCUGUGAAGAUAAGAUUUGUCACGUCCUGACCAGUAAAGAGGUUAUUUGUUAUUGUAGUUUGGUCAGGACGUGGCAGGGGGUGUUUGUUUAAUGUG
Molecule: non-coding RNA, 2321 nt
Organism: Salmo salar (Atlantic salmon)
Lineage: Eukaryota; Metazoa; Chordata; Actinopteri; Salmoniformes; Salmonidae
Source: RefSeq, a predicted model, not a curated record